CAUAUACAUAGCUAGUUGGUGUUCCGACAUGUUUGAAUUCUCGGCGAAGGGUAACCGCAGUCUUACCGGUUCUGUGAACCGCGAUCAAUGCCAACACGAGGUGGCAGCCAGCGACGCUGGCAUAGCUGAUAGCGAAACGACACGCGAUAAAGUAUGGCGUGUUUUUCCAAUGCGAUAAACUCGUGGAAGCGGUAAGGCCCCUUGUUAGCUUAUAAAUCAAACAAUUAUUUGUCGAAAUGUUCUUCGUUGAUUGUAAAUAAAACGCUUUUUACUAUAUUGUUAAUGAUCGCAACCAUUUGUUUUGUGCCUAAUUCGAUACGUCAGUUUCACGGUGUUAAACGGGAAAUACCUCUCAACAGUGGUCGACCGUCCUUGAUUGACCGAGUCAUGUUUUUAUCUAUCAAAAAAAGAAGAAUGUCGUCAACGGUCAGCUGUUUGUGUUAAUUCCAAAAGCGUGUAUCAACAAGACUUCGGACUAAGUAACAUUUUGCUAUGCGAGCGUAUGCAUUCAAAUCGAAUUCAUUGCUCGUUUGACGUGGCCUUGUUCGUUGCGAGGUCGACCCGUGUAGCAAUGUAAAGCCAACAACGUCACGGCGUAGUUGGAUUGCGACAAAAUCUGAGGAAAACGUAGUAGCAGCGCGAGUACGGCGUGAGUCGAGGUUACUUUGACGCGUGACUUGCAAGGUCCCCGCUGCAUUGCCCGAUGCUCCAAGACCGCCGCGUCUGGAUGAGAGCAUUGACUGGUUGGUAAAGGGACAUUGGGCAUACAUUGGCUUUCACUCAGUCGUCGAACGCAUUACUUUGGUUGUAUUUCAAGAACGUGUUCGCAUUUUACCCAAGCGAAUGCUGUCUACCAUGACAGAGAGCAAAAGCUAGAAAGCAUUCGCAAAAUGAAGAUAAUCGUAACUUUUUAAUAUCUGAUUGUUUUGCAUAUCAAAUGAAUACUACGUAUCGUAUUAAUGAUUGAAUUAUUGCAACGUAUAACUAACAUUGUCCAAUAUUGAUUAAAAAAUAUUAAUCCAUAUCAUAUGCUAAUUCAGUGAUGCAGUUAACAGGGUGAUGUAGCUGAAUAAUGAAUUUAAUGAAAUUACUUCUAAAAACUGUCCAAAUACGUCACACGUCCCAAUGUACUCGAAGAAAACAGUGACCAACAUUUUCGCUAAAGUAAUUUCAGUCAUCAUUACGUUUUUGCCAAUAGUUGAACGAAAGCCAAACGCUAGUGUGCUUAACAAAGGAAAUAUUCCCGGGAGAUGUGGCCAGUGUUCAAAUGAGUCACUCUGGGUCACUCCGGUCUGUCCGCGUACACAGUGCUCGUCGAAACGGGACAAAGUUCAAAUAAUGCAAACCCAAAUGGUUUGGUUAUGUCAUUUAUAAUGUAGCUACUUGUUGCGAAUCGAUUUAUACUUGAUACAUUAAUAAUAAUGUCCACUUAAUCGAUUCUGAUGCUAGCGACUCCAUUAAUCGUCGAUGUGGACAUUAUUUACAAAAGAUUUAUUAGAUUACUGUUGAUUUAAAUAAUACAGAAAGAACAGUCAAUAUAAAGCUUAGAAGCACUUCUGCCAAAGAAAAUUUAAAACACAUCGUAGGUGUUGUCUUCUCACGUAACAAAAGGCCAGAGAUUAUAAUUGUUAGGAAACACGAGCUGGGCUAGGUUUACCACAUCGCCUAUUGAUUGAAUGACUAAUAGAAAUAAAAAGCUGUAUUAAACUUAAGUAACCAUCAUAUUUUUAUCCUCUCAAAACGAUGAUAUCAGUAUCAUUUUUUUUAAUAAUUUCUUAUCAUUUUUCUUUCUUAUUCUCUUAUCAUUUUUUUAAAUAAUUUCUCAUUAAUAAUUGAAAAUAAAAAAAAAACAAUCAAAAGUCAUUGAAUUUGAAGAUGAAAAAGAAGAUGCAUGUGACUAAGAGAUGUAAGGAAAUGGUAGUGGAAGGUAGAGGGGGAAGAGGUCGAUCGAAGAAGACAUGGAUGGAGUGUAUGAAUGACGAUUUAAGAGAGAGAGAGGAGUGAGUGUUGAGAUGACGGCUGAUGGAAUGGGUUAGUUCUGCCGACCCCACCUGGUGGGAUAAGGUGGAGAAAAAGAAUAAGAUUAAAAUUGAAUUUAAGUGCAAUGUGUACUUCACUGGAGUUACGUGAGCAAACAAAUGGGCAGUAUUGUACUAAAAAAUAAGGUGGAUAAUUUGCACAGGAUUGCAUAAGUCAAUCAAUAUUUUUGCGAAUUAGCAAUUUCGUCAUUUUAAGUUAGUAGGACAUAUUAUAAGGACAUAAACUGUUUUUUUGGUGUAUGAUACGAAGAAUAUUCGAGUCUGUUCUUCGAGAGUUGUUUGAGAUUUUUGUAUCAAACAUAUUAUUGUUUUAAAAUGGAAAAUAGCAUAAGUAUGUACAUUCUACGAUUAUAAUCGUUGGUCUAUGUUUAUAUACCAAAGGAGAGCUAAAGUAUUGAUUUUUCUUUCUCAUAUUGGAGAUUACAGAUUCGAGAAUAGUCUGUAGUAUUAUGGUUGUAUAUAGGGAGAAAAGGCUCACGGAACAUCUGGAGCUAAGAUGUGUUACAUUGUUAUAGCCGCUUGAUAGUCUUCCAGCGUCAGAAUAUGAAAAUAUGGUUUAAAUAUGUGUAUAUUAUAAGUAAUAAAAUGAACAGACUUUUGAAGUCAA
Bombyx mori (domestic silkworm) is the source of this 2646-nucleotide long non-coding RNA. RefSeq lists it as uncharacterized. Lineage: Eukaryota; Metazoa; Arthropoda; Insecta; Lepidoptera; Bombycidae. The record is from RefSeq and is a predicted model, not a curated record. The transcript has 3 exons.